UACGGAGGGUGCAAGCAUUAAUCGGAUUUAUUGGGCGUAAAGGGCGCGUAGGCGGAGCUGUAAGUCAGAUGUGAAAUCCCGGGGCUCACCCCCGGAACAGCAUUUGAAACUGCAGCCCUUGAGGGUAGGCGGAGAAAAUGGAAUUCCACAAGUAGCGGUGAAAUGCGUAGAUAUGUGGAAGAACACCAGUGGCGAAGGCGGUUUUCUAGCUUAUUCCUGACGCUCAAGCGCGAAAGCAAGGGGAGCAAACAGG
RNAcentral lists this ribosomal RNA (253 nucleotides) under uncultured bacterium. Its description in RNAcentral is "partial 16S ribosomal RNA". It matches the Rfam family "Bacterial small subunit ribosomal RNA", at positions 524 to 776 of the family's 1533-position model. The record is from RNAcentral.